ACUCCUACGGGAGGCAGCAGUGGGGAAGUCUUGGACAAUGGGCGCAAGCCUGAUCCAGCCAUGCCGCGUGAGUGAUGAAGGCCCUAGGGUCGUAAAGCUCUUUCGCCAGAGAUGAUAAUGACAGUAUCUGGUAAAGAAACCCGGCUAACUCCGUGCCAGCAGCCGCGGUAAUACGGAGGGGGUUAGGCGUUGUUCGGAAUUACUGGGCGUAAAGCGCGCGUAGGCGGACUAGUCAGUUAGAGGUGAAAUCCCAGGGGCUCAACCCUGGAACUGCCUUUAAUACUGCUAGUCUUGAGUUCGAGAGAGGUGAGUGGAAUUCCGAGUGUAGAGGUGAAAUUCGUAGAUAUUCGGAGGAACACCAGUGGCGAAGGCGGCUCACUGGCUCGAUACUGACGCUGAGGUGCGAAAGUGUGGGGAGCAAACAGGAUUAGAUACCCUGGUAGCG
RNAcentral lists this ribosomal RNA (445 nucleotides) under uncultured bacterium. RNAcentral's name for it is "bacterial SSU rRNA". It matches the Rfam family "Bacterial small subunit ribosomal RNA", at positions 335 to 795 of the family's 1533-position model. The record is from RNAcentral.